This 352-nucleotide unclassified non-coding RNA is filed under the name soil metagenome. RNAcentral's name for it is "partial contains 5.8S ribosomal RNA, internal transcribed spacer 2, and large subunit ribosomal RNA". The stretch from base 1 to 120 matches the Rfam family "5.8S ribosomal RNA", at positions 35 to 154 of the family's 154-position model. The record is from RNAcentral.
GAUGAAGAACGUAGCGAAAUGCGAUAAGUAAUGUGAAUUGCAGAAUUCAGUGAAUCAUCGAAUCUUUGAACGCACAUUGCGCCCGCCAGUAUUCUGGCGGGCAUGCCUGUUCGAGCGUCAUUACAACCCUCAGGCCCCCGGGCCUGGCGUUGGGGAUCGGCGGAGCCCUCCGUGGGCACACGCCGUCCCCCAAAUACAGUGGCGGUCCCGCCGCAGCUUCCAUCGCGUAGUAGCUAACACCUCGCGACUGGAGAGCGGCGCGGCCACGCCGUAAAACACCCAACUCUUCUGAAGUUGACCUCGAAUCAGGUAGGAAUGCCCGCUGAACUUAAGCAUAUCAAUAAGCGGAGGA